ACACAGGUGGUCAGGUAGAGAAUACCAAGGCGCUUGAGAGAACUCGGGUGAAGGAACUAGGCAAAAUGGUGCCGUAACUUCGGGAGAAGGCACGCUGACAUGUAGGUGAAGUGAUUUACUCAUGGAGCUGAAGUCAGUCGAAGAUACCAGCUGGCUGCAACUGUUUAUUAAAAACACAGCACUGUGCAAACACGAAAGUGGACGUAUACGGUGUGACGCCUGCCCGGUGCCGGAAGGUUAAUUGAUGGGGUCAGCGCAAGCGAAGCUCCUGAUCGAAGCCCCGGUAAACGGCGGCCGUAACUAUAACGGUCCUAAGGUAGCGAAAUUCCUUGUCGGGUAAGUUCCGACCUGCACGAAUGGCGUAAUGAUGGCCAGGCUGUCUCCACCCGAGACUCAGUGAAAUUGAACUCGCUGUGAAGAUGCAGUGUACCCGCGGCAAGACGGAAAGACCCCGUGAACCUUUACUAUAGCUUGACACUGAACAUUGAGCCUUGAUGUGUAGGAUAGGUGGGAGGCUUUGAAGUGUGGACGCCAGUCUGCAUGGAGCCGACCUUGAAAUACCACCCUUUAAUGUUUGAUGUUCUAACGUGGACCCGUGAUCCGGGUUGCGGACAGUGUCUGGUGGGUAGUUUGACUGGGGCGGUCUCCUCCUAAAGAGUAACGGAGGAGCACGAAGGUUGGCUAAUCCUGGUCGGACAUCAGGAGGUUAGUGCAAUGGCAUAAGCCAGCUUGACUGCGAGCGUGACGGCGCGAGCAGGUGCGAAAGCAGGUCAUAGUGAUCCGGUGGUUCUGAAUGGAAGGGCCAUCGCUCAACGGAUAAAAGGUACUCCGGGGAUAACAGGCUGAUACCGCCCAAGAGUUCAUAUCGACGGCGGUGUUUGGCACCUCGAUGUCGGCUCAUCACAUCCUGGGGCUGAAGUAGGUCCCAAGGGUAUGGCUGUUCGCCAUUUAAAGUGGUACGCGAGCUGGGUUUAGAACGUCGUGAGACAGUUCGGUCCCUAUCUGCCGUGGGCGCUGGAGAACUGAGGGGGGCUGCUCCUAGUACGAGAGGACCGGAGUGGACGCAUCACUGGUGUUCGGGUUGUCAUGCCAAUGGCACUGCCCGGUAGCUAAAUGCGGAAGAGAUAAGUGCUGAAAGCAUCUAAGCACGAAACUUGCCCCGAGAUGAGUUCUCCCUGAGACUUUAGGUCUCCUGAAGGAACGUUGAAGACGACGACGUUGAUAGGCCGGGUGUGUAAGCGCAGCGAUGCGUUGAGCUAACCGGUACUAAUGAACCGUGAGGCUUAACCUUACA
This 1294-nucleotide ribosomal RNA is filed under the name Salmonella enterica subsp. enterica serovar Limete. Its description in RNAcentral is "partial 23S ribosomal RNA". It matches the Rfam family "Bacterial large subunit ribosomal RNA", at positions 1657 to 2925 of the family's 2925-position model. Lineage: Bacteria; Pseudomonadati; Pseudomonadota; Gammaproteobacteria; Enterobacterales; Enterobacteriaceae. The record is from RNAcentral.